RNAcentral lists this ribosomal RNA (329 nucleotides) under uncultured eukaryote. RNAcentral describes it as "partial 18S ribosomal RNA". It matches the Rfam family "Eukaryotic small subunit ribosomal RNA", at positions 1470 to 1796 of the family's 1831-position model. The record is from RNAcentral.
CCCUUAGAUGUUCUGGGCCGCACGCGCGCUACACUGACAGGGCCAGCGAGUACAUCACCUUGGCCGAGAGGUCUGGGUAAUCUUGUUAAACCCUGUCGUGCUGGGGAUAGAGCAUUGCAAUUAUUGCUCUUCAACGAGGAAUGCCUAGUAAACGCAAGUCAUCAGCUUGCAUUGAUUACGUCCCUGCCCUUUGUACACACCGCCCGUCGCUCCUACCGAUUGAAUGAUCCGAUGAAUAUCAUGGAUUGAGGAUGCAAGUAGGUUCGCCUAUCUUCAUCUUCGAGAAGUGAAGUAAAUCUUAUCAUUUAGAGGAAGGAGAAGUCGUAACA